Molecule: long non-coding RNA, 297 nt
Organism: Zalophus californianus (California sea lion)
Lineage: Eukaryota; Metazoa; Chordata; Mammalia; Carnivora; Otariidae
Exons: 3
Source: RefSeq, a predicted model, not a curated record
UAGUAACUGACAGCUCGGCCUCGAAACGAGAAGCCUCAAGUAGGUCAGACUGUGUCAACGGUUUCAAAUCCAGAGUCCACCCCAGUGGGCUUAAGGGAGUAGAGCAGCAGGAGACUCCUGGUGAUUAUAAUCAGUCCACACAGAUUAUCAGUUAAUGGUUCCAAAACAUUUCCCAGAAAAUUUAAUUGGAGGUAAACUGUUGAAAUUGAAAUUUCUUCAUGACAUUGGAAAAGGAGUGAUUGUUCUUAGCUCUAGCAGUUGUUAAGAUAAAGACCAUUACAUGUGAGCAUAUUAUUA